UACGUAGGGGGCAAGCGUUGUCCGGAUUUAUUGGGCGUAAAGAGCUCGUAGGCGGCUCAGUAAGUCAGGUGUGAAACCUCCAGGCUCAACCUGGAGACGCCACCUGAUACUGCUGUGGCUAGAGUCCGGUAGGGGAGCGUGGAAUUCCUGGUGUAGCGGUGAAAUGCGUAGAUAUUGGGAGGAACACCAGUGGCGAAGGCGGCUCACUGGACCGGUUCUGACGCUGAGGCGCGAAAGCGUGGGGAGCAAACGGG
This 254-nucleotide ribosomal RNA is filed under the name uncultured bacterium. RNAcentral's name for it is "partial 16S ribosomal RNA". It matches the Rfam family "Bacterial small subunit ribosomal RNA", at positions 524 to 776 of the family's 1533-position model. The record is from RNAcentral.